Molecule: ribosomal RNA, 627 nt
Filed under: uncultured eubacterium WD210
Lineage: Bacteria
Description: bacterial SSU rRNA
Rfam family: Bacterial small subunit ribosomal RNA
Source: RNAcentral
GAGUUUGAUCAUGGCUCAGAUUGAACGCUGGCGGCAUGCCUUACACAUGCAAGUCGAACGGCAGCACGGGGGCAACCCUGGUGGCGAGUGGCGAACGGGUGAGUAAUACAUCGGAACGUGUCCUGUAGUGGGGGAUAGCCCGGCGAAAGCCGGAUUAAUACCGCAUACGAUCUGCGGAUGAAAGCGGGGGCUCCUUCGGGACCUCGCGCUACAGGGGCGGCCGAUGGCAGAUUAGCUAGUUGGUGGGGUAAAGGCCUACCAAGGCGACGAUCUGUAGCUGGUCUGAGAGGACGACCAGCCACACUGGGACUGAGACACGGCCCAGACUCCUACGGGAGGCAGCAGUGGGGAAUUUUGGACAAUGGGCGAAAGCCUGAUCCAGCAAUGCCGCGUGUGUGAAGAAGGCCUUCGGGUUGUAAAGCACUUUUGUCCGGAAAGAAAACCUCGUGGUUAAUACCCGUGGGGGAUGACGGUACCGGAAGAAUAAGCACCGGCUAACUACGUGCCAGCAGCCGCGGUAAUACGUAGGGUGCAAGCGUUAAUCGGAAUUACUGGGCGUAAAGCGUGCGCAGGCGGUCCGCUAAGACAGAUGUGAAAUCCCCGGGCUUAACCUGGGAACUGCAUUUG